GAUAAUCUCAUCACAUGCCAAAACCAAAAUUUGUUAGCCAUACCAAUGGCUAACCAUACAUUCAUUUCACAUUAACAUCUACUUUACUAGCUUAUACAUGCCAUUGAUUUCCAAAAUAAAGUUUCUUUAUAUACCGAGAAUUUGAGGUUGAUAGUGUGAUGCGUCUCCGACCAAAUCCGACCUCCGAGCCCUUAACACUACAAAACAGGGGAAAAAGAAACAGGAUAAGCACUUUGUGCUUAGUAAGCUCAUGUAACAAGAAUUAUACUUACCUAAUAUUUUCUUUACAAUGUAAUAAACAUUCAUACACCCAUUCCAUACAUUAUUCCCCUAUCAUGCACAAACUCAACAUUCAAAUUAGUCCAAUAAUUUCCAUGUAUCAAUAAUUUAUACCAUGAUUAAUGAGCUCAUCAAUUCCAUGAUUUCCAUUUCCUUGUUAUUUUUCUAUAUUUAUCCCAUUGAACUACUUGGAAUUUCGAUGGAUUUUCAGAGGUACACUUUAGUGUACAAAUCCGGGUCCGUCAAUUCAUAUUCAUGUGCGCACAUUUCCAUUUCAGAGAGCACACUCCCGCGAACCUCAUCCUUACAGCGGGAUUACCAGUCCAGGCUAAAUCCCCUGUAAUAUAAACUCACAGAGUAUUGUCGGGAUUACCAGUCCAGGCUAAAUCCCCUGCAACGACAAUUACUCUAAUGAGCUUGGAUCUGAAUUACCAGUCCAGGCUAAAUUCAGACCCUAAUUCGGAUUACCCGUCCGGGCUAAAUCCAUUUUCCACAUAUUCUUCGGGAGGGCUAUAUCAGAAUAGGAUCACCCGUCCGGGCUAGAUCCUUUUUACCGUCAAUUCCUUUUCAGAGAUCCAUCGAAUUUCCUUUUCAUUCAACCAAGAUUUAUUUUCUCUUUUCAUCAAGAAUAUCAUUACUUCAUCAAUUAUCAUACAAUAAACAUCCAAAUCAUAUUCACAUCAAUAACAAACAUUUCAAGCAUUUAGGAAUAUAAUUCAAGUUACACGAACUUACCUCGACACUUGUUCGUAACUAAAAAUCUACUAAUCUCGAACUUUUUCUUUUCCUCGAUCUUGCUUCGUAUUUGAAUUUUCCGGAUCUAAAUAAAUAAAUUUAAUCAUUAAUCUAAUACUUUUCAUGUUCAUAUGUGACAUUCUCUAUAAUUCCAUUAUUAUUUGUAGUGCAUUCAAAGCUGUCUCACUGAGUCACAAUCACUAAAUUAUUUAUAUCUCAUGAUUUACAAUUCCAUUGCUUACACCGUUUCUUUUAUAAGAAACUAGACUCAAUAAGCUUUAAUUUCAUAUUUUAUUCAUCCUCUAAUUCGAUCUCUACAAUUUUUGGUGAUUUUUCAAAGUUAGAGUACUGCUGCUGUCCAAAACUGUUUUAGUGUAUGAUGUUAAUUACCAUUUUUCCCUAAACUUUCAAUAAAUGAUAAUUUCAUCCCUGCUCAAUUAACCUCUCAAUUGAGCUGAUUUUUCUCAAUUAACACUUUAUCCCAUCACUUUAGACUACUUUAUAACCUUUGUAAAUCAGAAUUUCAGCACUAGACUUUGAUUCCAAACAUUUUCACAAUUAGGUCCUACAAAUCAAUUUCUAUUGAAAUUACCUAAUAAAAUAAUCUCACAAACAAAUUAAAGCUUCAAUUUCAUCCUAUUUCAUCAUAAAAUUCCAGCACAUAUUCAUAGAAACUUUAAAAUUCAUUCAUAAAAUCAAAAACUAAUGAAUUUAGUAAUAGGACAUAGUUGUAAAAGUCUUAGAAAUACAAAAAUUACAAGAAAAAGGCAAGGAUUAACUCACUUGGUGCAAAAAUU
Molecule: long non-coding RNA, 1811 nt
Filed under: Gossypium raimondii (Peruvian cotton)
Lineage: Eukaryota; Viridiplantae; Streptophyta; Magnoliopsida; Malvales; Malvaceae
Description: long non-coding RNA (GRAI_LNC005197)
Source: RNAcentral